Long non-coding RNA from Passer domesticus (house sparrow), 582 nucleotides. RefSeq lists it as uncharacterized. Lineage: Eukaryota; Metazoa; Chordata; Aves; Passeriformes; Passeridae. The transcript has 2 exons. The record is from RefSeq and is a predicted model, not a curated record.
CAGAGAGGAUGAUGUAUAAAGUGUGCACAGAGUGACAAGGUGAGUGGGCUGUGCAGGCGGGGCCCCAGGUUUCUGCUGGAGCCUGAUCCUGGCAGGAAUGUCCAUUAAAGAGAUUCUGAUGUGUGACACACUGCUACAGUGGUCAGUACUAGUACAGCAAGGGAGCAGUGGGAACAGUCAGAAUAUUUAAAAGGAAAUUACUAAUUCUGUACAUUUAAAGCAUAAUCAGAUUAUCUUGGAUAUAUUUAAAGUUUAUUUCCAGCUGGAGAAAAUCAAUGCCUUAGGAUUUGUUCUGUUCUCUUUAUUCAGUAUAAAAUUUGCUUAGUUUACAAGUCAAAAGAUGAUUUUUAAUUACCAGCAUCAACAUAAAAUAGAUCUGGAUCAGAUAUCUGGAUCCCUUCAGGAAAUGAACAUAUUUUCUCAACUCCACAAGGCAAAGAAGAUAAAGUGGAGCACGUUGCCUGGAAGAACCAGUUCAACAGGAGCUGAACUGAGUCUAUGAAACCUGGUCACGUAUCCACUGGCAUCACUGAAAGAGUAUAACCAACCUCAAAUGAUUAAACCCUUGUUAUUGAACUGAAA